Molecule: ribosomal RNA, 497 nt
Filed under: uncultured bacterium
Lineage: Bacteria
Description: partial 16S ribosomal RNA
Rfam family: Bacterial small subunit ribosomal RNA
Source: RNAcentral
GAUGAACGCUGGCGGCGUGCCUAAUACAUGCAAGUCGAGCGAACAGACGAGGAGCUUGCUCCUCUGACGUUAGCGGCGGACGGGUGAGUAACACGUGGAUAACCUACCUAUAAGACUGGGAUAACUUCGGGAAACCGGAGCUAAUACCGGAUAAUAUAUUGAACCGCAUGGUUCAAUAGUGAAAGGCGGUUUUGCUGUCACUUAUAGAUGGAUCCGCGCCGCAUUAGCUAGUUGGUAAGGUAACGGCUUACCAAGGCGACGAUGCGUAGCCGACCUGAGAGGGAGGACGGCCGUACCGGAACUGAGAAGCGGUUCCGGCUCCAUCGGGAGGCAACAGUUGGGGAUCUUCCGCAAUGGGCGAAAGCCUGACGGAGCGACGCCGCGUGGGUUAUGAAGGUCUUCGGUGCGUAAAACUCUGUUAUUAGGGAAGAACAAAUGUUUAAAUAACUGUGGACGUCUUGACGGUAACGAAACAGGAAGCCACGGCUAAGUACGGG